MicroRNA precursor from Chlorocebus sabaeus (green monkey), 71 nucleotides. The record is from Ensembl. Lineage: Eukaryota; Metazoa; Chordata; Mammalia; Primates; Cercopithecidae.
UCAGGACACCAGAGAACCAUAGAGCGAAUUACUUCUUCCAGAGUGCUAAAUGAUCCCCUGGUGCCCUGGAA